UGGGGAAUAUUGGGCAAUGGGCGAAAGCCUGACCCAGCAACGCCGCGUGAAGGAAGAAGGUCUUCGGAUUGUAAACUUCUUUUAUAAGGGACGAAUUUUGACUGUACCUUAUGAAUAAGCCACGGCUAACUAAGUGCCAGCAGCCGCGGUAAUACGUAGGUGGCAAGCGUUAUCCGGAUUUACUGGGUGUAAAGGGUGAGUAGGCGGGUAGACAAGUCAGAUGUGAAAUGCAGGAGCUUAACUCCUGAACUGCAUUUGAAACUGUAUAUCUUGAGUGUCGGAGAGGUAAUUGGAAUUCCCAGUGUAGCGGUGAAAUGCGUAGAGAUUGGGAGGAACACCAGUGGCGAAGGCGGAUUACUGGACGACAACUGACGCUGAGGCACGAAAGUGUGGGGAGCAAACAGG
This 405-nucleotide ribosomal RNA is filed under the name uncultured prokaryote. RNAcentral's name for it is "bacterial SSU rRNA". It matches the Rfam family "Bacterial small subunit ribosomal RNA", at positions 355 to 776 of the family's 1533-position model. The record is from RNAcentral. RNAcentral also lists the same sequence under 1 other name.